This 663-nucleotide ribosomal RNA is filed under the name Staphylococcus agnetis. Its description in RNAcentral is "bacterial SSU rRNA". It matches the Rfam family "Bacterial small subunit ribosomal RNA", at positions 1 to 646 of the family's 1533-position model. Lineage: Bacteria; Bacillati; Bacillota; Bacilli; Caryophanales; Staphylococcaceae. The record is from RNAcentral.
UUUAUGGAGAGUUUGAUCCUGGCUCAGGAUGAACGCUGGCGGCGUGCCUAAUACAUGCAAGUCGAGCGAACUGACGAGGAGCUUGCUCCUUUGACGUUAGCGGCGGACGGGUGAGUAACACGUGGGUAACCUACCUAUAAGACUGGAAUAACUCCGGGAAACCGGGGCUAAUGCCGGAUAACAUGUUGAACCGCAUGGUUCAACAGUGAAAGACGGUUUUGCUGUCACUUAUAGAUGGACCCGCGCCGUAUUAGCUAGUUGGUAAGGUAACGGCUUACCAAGGCGACGAUACGUAGCCGACCUGAGAGGGUGAUCGGCCACACUGGAACUGAGACACGGUCCAGACUCCUACGGGAGGCAGCAGUAGGGAAUCUUCCGCAAUGGGCGAAAGCCUGACGGAGCAACGCCGCGUGAGUGAUGAAGGUCUUCGGAUCGUAAAGCUCUGUUGUUAGGGAAGAACAUAUGUGUAAGUAACUGUGCACAUCUUGACGGUACCUAACCAGAAAGCCACGGCUAACUACGUGCCAGCAGCCGCGGUAAUACGUAGGUGGCAAGCGUUAUCCGGAAUUAUUGGGCGUAAAGCGCGCGUAGGCGGUUUUUUAAGUCUGAUGUGAAAGCCCACGGCUCAACCGUGGAGGGUCAUUGGAAACUGGAAAACUUGAG